GGCCUGGUGGUCUAGUAGUAUGAUUCCUUGUUAGGGCCGAGUACCGUUUCGAGGAGGUCCUGGGUUCAAUUCCCAGCCAGGCCC
RNAcentral lists this transfer RNA (84 nucleotides) under Sphagnurus paluster. RNAcentral describes it as "Tephrocybe palustris tRNA". It matches the Rfam family "tRNA". From Rfam's summary of the family: Transfer RNA (tRNA) molecules are approximately 80 nucleotides in length. Their secondary structure includes four short double-helical elements and three loops (D, anti-codon, and T loops). Lineage: Eukaryota; Fungi; Basidiomycota; Agaricomycetes; Agaricales; Lyophyllaceae. The record is from Rfam by way of RNAcentral.